CCUACGGGUGGCAGCAGUGAGGAAUAUUGGACAAUGGGCGAAAGUCUGAUCCAGCCAAGUAGCGUGAAGGAUGACUGCCUUCGGGUUUUUAAACUUCUUUUAUAUGGGAAUAAAAUGUUCCACGUGUGGGAUUUUGUAUGUACCAUAUGAAUAAGGAUCGGCUAACUCCGUGCCAGCAGCCGCGGUAAUACGGAGGGUCCGGGCGUUAUCCGGAUUUAUUGGGUUUAAAGGGAGCGUAGGUGGAUUGUUAAGUCAGUUGUGAAAGUUUGCGGCUCAACCGUAAGAUUGCAGUUGAAACUGGCAGUCUCGAGUGCAGUAGAGGUGGGCGGAAUUCGUGGUGUAGCGGUGAAAUGCGUAGAUAUCAGGAAGAACUCCGAUUGCGAAGGCAGCUCACUGGACUGCAACUGACACUGAGGCGCGAAAGUGUGGGGAGCAAACAGGAUUAGAUACCCCAGUAGUC
RNAcentral lists this ribosomal RNA (460 nucleotides) under uncultured bacterium. RNAcentral's name for it is "partial 16S ribosomal RNA". It matches the Rfam family "Bacterial small subunit ribosomal RNA", at positions 338 to 795 of the family's 1533-position model. The record is from RNAcentral.